GUAUAGCAAUUGCUAUUUGCACUAAAGUUUUUAGUGUAAAAUCGACUUUGUCGAAUAAAAUUCUGGGUAGAAUUAUGAUAAUGACAUUAUCUACUUAUAAGUCUUGACCAAAUUACGUGCCAGCAGUCGCGGUAAUACGUAAAAGACAAGUGUUAUUCAUCUUUAAUAGGUUUAAAGGGUACUUAGACGGUAAAUAAAGCCUCUAAAAGGGACUAGUUUGCUAGAGUUUUAUAUGAGGGAGUUUUAAAGUACUACUGGUGUAGAGAUGAAAUUCAGUUAUACCUUACAUGGCACAGGUUAAGGCGAAAGCAUCUUCUUAUGUAAAAACUGACGUUGAAGGACGAAGGCUUUGUGUCUCGAACAGGAUUAGAUACCCUAGUAGUCUAAGCAGAAAAUCAUGAAUGUCAUAGAUUAGAUUUAAUUUGAUCUGUAAAUGAAAGUGUAAGCAUUCCACCUCAAGAGUAAUUUGGCAACAUUGGAACUGAAAUCAUUAGACCGUUUCUGAAACCAGUAGUGAAGUAUGUUGUUUAAUUUGAUAAUCCGCAAAAAACCUUACCACAAUUUGAAUAGAUAUAAUUUAUCAUACAAGCGUUGCACGGCUGUCUUCAGUUAAUGUCGUGAGACUUUGGUUAGUUCCAUUAAAUUAACGUAAACCCUUAUUUUAUUUUUAUAUAAAAUAGUUCACCGCUAUAUUGGAUGUGAUAAUAGGGAUCAAGACAAGUCAUCAUGACCUAAAUAUUGUGGGCUAUA
Molecule: ribosomal RNA, 750 nt
Filed under: Caloplaca sp.
Lineage: Eukaryota; Fungi; Ascomycota; Lecanoromycetes; Teloschistales; Teloschistaceae
Description: SSU rRNA
Rfam family: Bacterial small subunit ribosomal RNA
Source: RNAcentral